Long non-coding RNA from Ictalurus punctatus (channel catfish), 2661 nucleotides. The record is from Ensembl. NCBI's taxonomy places the organism in Eukaryota, Metazoa, Chordata, Actinopteri, Siluriformes, Ictaluridae.
CCAGGUUGAGGUUUUCCAAAUACCAUCACUAAGCUGUUUAAAUCGUUUUAAUCAGCUGAUUAGCAGCCUCGCUCUAACAUAUACUUUACUUUACAUAAUAAAUUAGCAUAUUUUGUGACGUAGUAAUUUUUUUGUCGUUAAUAAUAAUCGUGAUUGAAGCAGGAAUCAUUGAGUCGGAUUUGGAACCCGGGUCUGUGUGACGAACACACCUCCAAAACAAAAGGAAGAACGGAAACCGGAGCUGAGGAAACAGUCUUGUUCUCGUUCUCUCUCUCUCUCUCUCUCUCUCUCUCUCUGUGUCUCUUUUUCUCUCUAAUAUCACUCGACGCUUUCUUUUCGCACGCGCACAUACGGGUUCUUCUGAUGGAUUGAUGGAUAUAUAUAUAUAUAUUUUUCUUUUUUAUUUUGUCGGUGUAGAUAAACAACGGAUGCGCAUGAGAGUGUCUUAAACAAUGGACGUUCCGUAAUGUAUGUAAAUUAAAUAAUAAUUAAAAUAAUAAUAAUAAUAACCGUCGUUUUGUCGCCUCAGCUGACGCCUUUUAACGUGCGCGAGCGCGGAGGCGGAUCCCCCCCACCCGCGCGCGCACUGAGGGAGGCCAGAAAGAAGAGGCUCGAGCGCCAGACAAAUUUAGAGGGAAAAACAAAUUAUCCUCAACAAAAAACGAAUGUUUGCUUGUUAACUGCUAUUUGGAGGACCCUUAUUUAUUCGUUUACACACACACACAACGCAACGUCUAGCGUCGAUCAUGUGUCUCAACGUGGACCCGGGAUGCGGCGAACAUGGCGUGCCGUCAACACGUAACCCGAAGCAUGUUGGCGGUCGUUUCGGUAAGUUGUCGAAGCGGUUUGUUUUACCUCCCGCUCCGCACCCCACGAUGAAGAUUUACAAUUCCACCAACCAUGACGUUUACGAGAAACUGUCAAAUAAAUAAAUAAAUAAAUAAAUCUCUUCCUGUUUAAGUCGUCUUGAACGAGCAUCUGCUAACGAUGGCGCACUCGUGUUUUUUUUAUUUUAUUUUUCUUUUCCUUCCCCACCCACUGUUUCACAUUCAUGCAUGUGCUUAAAAAAGAAACUAGGACUUGUAUCUCCUGCGCGGAACAUCUGCGCGAUACAGAUUUAGGCUACAGUUCCACCAACUGUUCGUAUUUGUUUAUAUCGGAUUCCUCCGACACCGGUCCCGCUCAAGGUUCGACCUCGUGUCAGGUUUACAUCGGUGUCGUUAUCCCGGCGCUGAUCCUGUCCUGGUCCGGGUGUUUACUUUGGAACGAUGCGAAUUGUCCUGUGGAUUUAUUGGCCUGCGUUCUCACUCCAUCUGCACGCCAUGUGGUCGUUGGGAACGGAGCCAUGUUUCAUUCUUUAUGCUGCGCCCCCUGGAAGAGCGACGCUUUCGUCCCGCCGUGUACGAGAUUACGGACGACGAGCACGGCCUAGAGAGAGCGCGUCUUCCGUAAGAUGAGCGUUUAUAGAUGAUGGUCAGCGUGUCAAACUUCUCCCGAAUUUGCCCCGACACACACCACACUGUGGCUUAAUACGCCGUAGACCAACAGUUUAACCAGGCCACCUGAGGACCCGGCGCUCACGGUCACUUGGGAGGUUGGCUGGCACUCUAAGUGACCUCGGACUGUACACGUCACCGAAGAACACUAAAGGCAGUCCUGAGCGUUGCCUUGCCUCUAGGAGCGUAGUCACAGGAAAAACCUGUGGUCUCAGUGUUUUCCCCCGCUGACAGGAUGUGUUGUAACGCGUGCGGAAUGCCAGCUCUGUGCGACAACAAGGAGGAGGUCAGGAACGCUCGCUCGCUCGCCGCCACGACGUCCCCACAGCAUGCUCAUAGCACGUAGACCAAAAUAGACCUCGUAACUACGCGGCUCUACCGGUCCGACCUUAUUUUGCUCCAUCGGAAACAGUUAGCAACGGAUCGCACGCUGAGGUGAUGACGUCGUCCUGUUCCUUUAAUUGUCAUACGCUCAAACCUCCCGACGCUCACGCAUUCUCUCUCUCUCUCUGUGUGUGUGUGUGUGUGUGUGUGUGUGUGUGUGAUUGUCUAUUUCUUUCUUUCUUUUUUUUUUCCUUGACAUUUUUGUCACUUAUCGCCGGCUGUGUUUCUGAAGCAUUUUAUUUUUCCUUUCAGUGGGAAUGUAAUGCACCAAGGCCACGCCUCCUUUAAUUGGACCGAUAUAAUAGCGAUAUACCGGGAUGAAUUAUGUCACAGUCUGCUUUUCUGGGAAGUCGUGAUUUUUUUAUUGCAGAAAUGACUAGAAGUCGUUUUGGAUUCGAUGGAUUUUUAUCAUGUUAAAACCUCGUGUGAUUGGAUGCCUGAAUGGGAAGAUUUGCCUCCAAGUGUAUUUAGGCUUCAGAUAUGGGUCAGUGCCUGGGCUUCUCUGAGCUCGAGAUAGUGUGUGUUGUCUGUGUUUUUUUUAAAAAUAGUUCAACCCUGGGCUGUGUAUAAAUAGAAAGUGUGGGUGGAUAGAGAACCAGAGCUGGGGCAGUUUGAAGAGUGUGAUGCGUUAUCCUAAGAGCUUGGGUUUUUUGGUACGUGCCGGGUCACGUAUAUAUUUAUAGCAGGAGUUUGAACACGGUUCCUGCACAGUGCUUUUGUGUAUAAACUUUACAGAAGAAGAAAAAAAAUGUACGGCUGUGAAAGGGGUUUACAGGUCCGU